Molecule: long non-coding RNA, 912 nt
Organism: Galleria mellonella (greater wax moth)
Lineage: Eukaryota; Metazoa; Arthropoda; Insecta; Lepidoptera; Pyralidae
Exons: 3
Source: RefSeq, a predicted model, not a curated record
GUGGAAAUUGGUGUUAAUCUAUUAAAUUUGGAACAAAAUUCCUGCCACCCCUGUUGUCUUACUUGCUUAAUUACUAACUUUUUAACAGCUUGAACUCUUUUAAAAUUUAUGUAAUUAUCGAGAGUUGGAUUUUGUUUAAACCUAAGGUAAGCCGCUUUACUAUCAUUGACAGCUGUCGCACACCUGUUAUUCCACCAAGGUACUGCAAUAUGUUUGUGCCUCUUUGAAGUAUUUGCACCGCUAUUUGAUAAGUUCCUACGUGGAACGGAACGUUCCACAGCUGUCAAAAUAAUUUUACAGAAUCUAUUGUAAUUGUUUAAGGGUUCAUUGACAUCAUACUCGAAAUCCAAAAGUAAUUGAUUAACAGUUUCAGAAUAAAGAUCCCAAUUAACGAGACAUGCUGCAACGCUCAGAAUUCUUACAGAAUUUAGCUAAAUGUCCAUACCUCAAGCACCGGUAGCAUUGUUUAACUGGUGGUAUAUAUGGAGUGACAUUGUGGCGCCAACCUCCAAUAUCCAGAUAUUCAGGAGGAGAGUGAGAGCAAGUCUCUGGAUCCAAUGGUUUUCUGACUAUCUGAGGAUUCUACAAAGACAACAAAUUCUGUCCCAGGGGAUUCCUCGGGAUAUCUUCUAAUAUAAUCUGUGACGUAGUAAGGUUUAUACUUAUCGGCCUUAUCAAUUUCAGAUUCUGAGUCAGUAGAAGUAUCUUCCGAAUAUAUAUCCUUGUCAUUACAAGGUUCAUGGUCUACAUCACCUGAAUCGUCAUCUUUUUUUUUCCUUUUUCUACAACUGCGCUUCCCCAUGAAUGCUAAUUAUAUUACUGUCGCUGAAUUUAGUGAAAAUAUAAUAUUUUAUUAAAUAAUAAGAAUUGAUAGAGAUAGUUUUAAUAAAUUAAUAAAAAAAAUUUAAAAAA